CAAUAUGAAGGCCAGGCUGAAGACUUUGCCGGAUUAGCUGAGAGGUGGUGCAUGGCCGUCGUCAGUUCGUACUGUGAAGCAUCCUGUUAAGUCAGGCAACGAGCGAGACCCACGCCCACAGUUGCCAGCGUACUCUCUGGAGUGACGGGUACACUGUGGGGACCGCCGCUGCUAAAGCGGAGGAAGGAAUGGGCAACGGUAGGUCAGUAUGCCCCGAAUAUCCCGGGCUACACGCGAGCUACAAUGGUUGGUACAAUGGGUAUCUACCCCGAAAGGGGACGGGAAUCUCCUAAAACCAAUCUUAGUUCGGAUUGAGGGCUGCAACUCGCCCUCAUGAAGCUGGAAUCCGUAGUAAUCGCGUUUCAACAGAACGCGGUGAAUACGUCCCUGCUCCUU
RNAcentral lists this ribosomal RNA (396 nucleotides) under uncultured Methanosaeta sp. Its description in RNAcentral is "bacterial SSU rRNA". It matches the Rfam family "Archaeal small subunit ribosomal RNA", at positions 943 to 1338 of the family's 1478-position model. The record is from RNAcentral. Lineage: Archaea; Methanobacteriati; Methanobacteriota; Methanomicrobia; Methanotrichales; Methanotrichaceae.